This 67-nucleotide transfer RNA is filed under the name Antricola mexicanus. Its description in RNAcentral is "tRNA-Gln". The record is from RNAcentral. Lineage: Eukaryota; Metazoa; Arthropoda; Arachnida; Ixodida; Argasidae.
UAAUUUUUGGUGUAAAGGCACGUUAAAUUUUGAUUUUAAAGGGAAUGAUUCAAUUCAUUAAAAUUAA